CCCAGAGCCAUUGCCCUGUCCAUGGAGACAUGCCCUGUGUGUGCCUAGCAUAUCCCAAGAACUGGAGUCCCAGGGCUCCAAGCCCCACAGUGCGCUGGAACUCGAGGUCGGGAUCCCACCACCUCUCCUCAACCCGGCAGCGCCACCCUAUGAGGGGGUAGUGGGGUGCCCGCUCCUGUCUUAGGAGGCCUGGGGCAACUUGGUUCACACCCGGAACUCUCUGUGGCCCCAGACCUUGGAUCUGCUCACCUACCCCUGCUCUCCAAGGCCUCCUGUAGGUACGUGCUCUCUGCUUUGUGGUUUCCCCCAAAUGGGAGGGGGUCCUGGGACUCGCGCUGCCGCCCACUGCGGCCAGUGGACUCAGGCCUCCUGCUCAAUCCAGCUCUGUCUUGCCUGCGCACCCCGUCCCCUCCCCCACUUCAAAGCCCAGAGCCAGCAGGCACUAAUUACACGCCCCCCCACCCCUCUCGCUCGUUAAGUGUUAUUAGCCCCAGUUUACAGAUGAGGAAACUGAGACCGGGAAGGAGGUGGAGGACGUCACCCCCUCCGUCCCCACCCUGGCCCCUGAGCCAGGACUGGGGACCCUGCCAAGAUUCCCCUUCCUGGGAGAAGCCGGGGCACAGUGCCCGCUCCAGCUCCUGCUUCCUGUCCUUCCCCAGCGCUUCUCUGUCCCUUGAAGCUAGCUUGACCUUGGGCAGACAGCUGCUGAGCCCUGGCAUGGGGUGGGCAGGGAAGGAGGUACCACAGGCCACAUUCUCUGAGUGUCUCAUCUGGAAGAGACAGGCAGAGGUCUUGGAGUUCAGGCCUCUCCACUGAGCUUGAAGCCAGGGCCUUUCUGCUUGAUC
Molecule: long non-coding RNA, 845 nt
Filed under: Canis lupus familiaris (dog)
Lineage: Eukaryota; Metazoa; Chordata; Mammalia; Carnivora; Canidae
Description: lncRNA (ENSCAFG00030000967.1)
Source: RNAcentral